This is a long non-coding RNA of Hevea brasiliensis (rubber tree), 1019 nucleotides long. RefSeq lists it as uncharacterized. The record is from RefSeq and is a predicted model, not a curated record. The transcript has 2 exons. NCBI's taxonomy places the organism in Eukaryota, Viridiplantae, Streptophyta, Magnoliopsida, Malpighiales, Euphorbiaceae.
GUGAGAGAAAAAGCUAUAAAAAGGAGGAAGAAGAUUCAGCCUGUUAAUAGACCCUCUGCUCCUUCCUUUAUUUUAUUUAGGUCUUUUCUUGGCAUAAAACCUUUUUCUAGAAUUAUUAUGCCACAUAUUAAUCUUCAUUUACAGUAGGAAAUAUUAUACUAUUGGCUCUAGUCAUAUUGGGAAUUUAAAAAAAAAAAAAAUAGAGCACAAGAAAUUGAUUAUUAUUUAAAUAGGGAAUUGAUUAUUUAACUUCAUAAGAAGUUGAAUAAGCUAUAUAUAUUACUUGGGGAUCGUCGUUUCCCGCAGUCAUGAAGUAUCUACCUUCUACUAACACAAUGUAACACAUGAAGGUUUGUCAAGAAAAUGUCCUUUAAUUGCAAGCUGUUAGGCUUUUUCUUUUUCUUUUUUCAAAUGUUUGUACAUGUGUAGCCUUGUUAACAUGAAUAUGGGACAGCCUAAAUAUGAUGCUUUUAUGUUAUCAUUUUACAUCCAAUGGUUUUUCACUAAAUAAGAAGUUGAAUUUUUUUUUUCCCUGGUUGACUCUGAUGAGUGUCAUGGAUAUCUCAGGUGUGAAAUUGUCAUGUUCAUCUUUGAAAACGUCAAGUUGGGUAGCUGAUUUUUCUUUUGUGACAGAAUAAACUAAUCAUUUGCAUUUCAUGCCAAAUUGAUGCCAGGUGUUUACAAGAGCAAGAAAUAGUAUAUGAAGUAUAAAGAGGUGAAUUGAGCAUAAAAGGAAGCAAAGGACACAUCAAUGGGCGAUUUUGAAGAGGCCUUGGCCAUUGACAAAACGAGCUUAGAUGAGUCUUAUUCAUAGUAUUUGGUGGCUAAUGGUGAAAAAAUGAACAGAUUUGAACACCAAACUAUGUUGGGCGAAAAUCGAGCUUCUUUGGACAACCUUAUUGGUGCUUAUAUGUGAACUACUAUUUAGAGUAUGAAUUUGACUAUAUGGGCUUAGAGGGACCUUAAUUGACAUAUGUUAAGUUGAAAUAUGAAAAAUGAGUGCAAUUGGAUUAGAUUUA